AACGCACAUUGCGCCCUCUGGUAUUCCGGAGGGCAUGCCUGUCUGAGCGUCAAUAUAACAUCAAACACCAGUUUGGUCUUGGAAGAAGAGAUGGCAGCAUCUCCCUUCUGUAAAUCAUUGAGCAGCGGUCCAAGCUAUGCGACGUAGUAAGCACAAAUCUCGUCGAACUGUAGCCUUGUGACUGUUUGCCAUAACCCAAAUAUAUCAUUGUUUGACCUCAGAUCAGGUAGGGAUACCCCCUGAACUUAA
This 249-nucleotide unclassified non-coding RNA is filed under the name uncultured Ascomycota. Its description in RNAcentral is "sequence contains ITS2". The stretch from base 1 to 52 matches the Rfam family "5.8S ribosomal RNA", at positions 103 to 154 of the family's 154-position model. The record is from RNAcentral. Lineage: Eukaryota; Fungi; Ascomycota.